Molecule: long non-coding RNA, 766 nt
Filed under: Homo sapiens (human)
Lineage: Eukaryota; Metazoa; Chordata; Mammalia; Primates; Hominidae
Description: HSALNT0031278
Source: RNAcentral
AGGAUGGCAAUGGCUAUAUUAGUGCUGCAGAACUUCGCCAUGUGAUGACAAACCUUGGAGAGAAGUUAACAGAUGAAGAAGUUGAUGAAAUGAUCAGGGAAGCAGAUAUUGAUGGUGAUGGUCAAGUAAACUAUGAAGAGUUUGUACAAAUGAUGACAGCAAAGUGAAGACCUUGUACAGAAUGUGUUAAAUUUCUUGUACAAAAUUGUUUAUUUGCCUUUUCUUUGUUUGUAACUUAUCUGUAAAAGGUUUCUCCCUACUGUCAAAAAAAUAUGCAUGUAUAGUAAUUAGGACUUCAUUCCUCCAUGUUUUCUUCCCUUAUCUUACUGUCAUUGUCCUAAAACCUUAUUUUAGAAAAUUGAUCAAGUAACAUGUUGCAUGUGGCUUACUCUGGAUAUAUCUAAGCCCUUCUGCACAUCUAAACUUAGAUGGAGUUGGUCAAAUGAGGGAACAUCUGGGUUAUGCCUUUUUUAAAGUAGUUUUCUUUAGGAACUGUCAGCAUGUUGUUGUUGAAGUGUGGAGUUGUAACUCUGCGUGGACUAUGGACAGUCAACAAUAUGUACUUAAAAGUUGCACUAUUGCAAAACGGGUGUAUUAUCCAGGUACUCGUACACUAUUUUUUUGUACUGCUGGUCCUGUACCAGAAACAUUUUCUUUUAUUGUUACUUGCUUUUUAAACUUUGUUUAGCCACUUAAAAUCUGCUUAUGGCACAAUUUGCCUCAAAAUCCAUUCCAAGUUGUAUAUUUGUUUUCCAAUAAAAAAAUU